GGCCAGGAAGAGGGGAAGGUCUGGGAGGACCUGGAGGGCGCAGCCCAGGGACAAGGAGGGGCAGGAGGGAGCCUGGACUUUGGAGGAUGGGGAAGGCAGGCCAGGGCCCGGAGUGGGUGAAGACUUCUCAGGACUAGGCCAGGUACGGACCCUGCCACACCCCUGGCCAUGAAGAAAUUCGUCUCCCAUGCCACUUGCCAUGACUCCCUGGGGUUGCAAGAACAGGAAUCGUACCUCAUCAUGGGCCAGACGUCAGACCUGUGGAGAAUCAAAUCUGAUUACAGCUAUGUUCUGGGCAAGGAGACGUUCCUCAUCCUUUGGCCAGCAGAUGGAGAUGCCAGCAAGAAAGAAUUGCGGGACCAACUGGAGGAAUUUUUGGAAUAUAUGCGCACCCACGGCUGCCAGUCCUGAGCCUCUUCUGCUUUCAGGGAGGUGUCAUCAGGCAGCUCUGGGCCACUGGGUUUAACCCCAAAUAAAGAGCACAGGAUAUGACACCCAAA
This is a long non-coding RNA of Homo sapiens (human), 500 nucleotides long. Ensembl annotates it as complement component 3 precursor pseudogene. Its record names the gene C3P1. NCBI's taxonomy places the organism in Eukaryota, Metazoa, Chordata, Mammalia, Primates, Hominidae. The record is from Ensembl.